CCUACGGGGGGCUGCAGUGGGGAAUAUUGGACAAUGGGGGGAACCCUGAUCCAGCCAUGCCGCGUGUGUGAAGAAGGCCCUCGGGUUGUAAAGCACUUUCAGUGAGGAAGAACGCCUGGUGGUUAAUACCCAGCAGGAAAGACAUCACUCACAGAAGAAGCACCGGCUAACUCCGUGCCAGCAGCCGCGGUAAUACGGAGGGUGCGAGCGUUAAUCGGAAUUACUGGGCGUAAAGCGCGCGUAGGUGGCUUGAUAAGCCGGUUGUGAAAGCCCCGGGCUCAACCUGGGAACGGCAUCCGGAACUGUCAAGCUAGAGUGCAGGAGAGGAAGGUAGAAUUCCCGGUGUAGCGGUGAAAUGCGUAGAGAUCGGGAGGAAUACCAGUGGCGAAGGCGGCCUUCUGGACUGACACUGACACUGAGGUGCGAAAGCGUGGGUAGCAAACAGGAUUAGAUACCCUAGUAGUC
This 465-nucleotide ribosomal RNA is filed under the name Vreelandella stevensii. RNAcentral's name for it is "partial 16S ribosomal RNA". It matches the Rfam family "Bacterial small subunit ribosomal RNA", at positions 338 to 795 of the family's 1533-position model. The record is from RNAcentral. Lineage: Bacteria; Pseudomonadati; Pseudomonadota; Gammaproteobacteria; Oceanospirillales; Halomonadaceae.